RNAcentral lists this unclassified non-coding RNA (355 nucleotides) under soil metagenome. RNAcentral describes it as "partial contains 5.8S ribosomal RNA, internal transcribed spacer 2, and large subunit ribosomal RNA". The stretch from base 1 to 120 matches the Rfam family "5.8S ribosomal RNA", at positions 35 to 154 of the family's 154-position model. The record is from RNAcentral.
GAUGAAGAACGCAGUGAAAUGCGAUAAGUAAUGUGAAUUGCAGAAUUCAGUGAAUCAUCGAAACUUUGAACGCACAUUGCGCCCGCCAGUACUCUGGCGGGCAUGCCUGUUCGAGCGUCAUUUCAACCCUCGGGCCCCGCAUUCGUGCGGCCCCGGCGUUGGGGACCGGCCUCCGCAUCGGACGGCCGCCCCCGAAACCCAGUGGCGGUCCCGCCGCGGCCUUCUCUGCGUAGUAGCAUACACCUCGCACUGGAGAGCGGCGCGGCCACGCCGUAAAAGAAACGAACUUUCUGAAGGUUGACCUCGGAUCAGGUAGGAAUACCCGCUGAACUUAAGCAUAUCAAUAAGCGGAGGA